RNAcentral lists this ribosomal RNA (253 nucleotides) under uncultured bacterium. RNAcentral's name for it is "partial 16S ribosomal RNA". It matches the Rfam family "Bacterial small subunit ribosomal RNA", at positions 524 to 776 of the family's 1533-position model. The record is from RNAcentral.
UACGUAGGGGGCAAGCGUUGUCCGGAAUCAUUGGGCGUAAAGCGCGUGUAGGCGGCUCGAUAAGUCUGCUGUGAAAGUUCAGGGCUCAACCCUGAAAUGCCGGUGGAAACUGUCGAGCUAGAGUGCGGAAGAGGUGAGUGGAAUUCCUGGUGUAGCGGUGAAAUGCGCAGAUAUCAGGAGGAACACCAAUGGCGAAGGCAGCUCACUGGGACGUUACUGACGCUGAGACGCGAAAGCGUGGGGAGCAAACAGG